Molecule: long non-coding RNA, 490 nt
Filed under: Volvox carteri
Lineage: Eukaryota; Viridiplantae; Chlorophyta; Chlorophyceae; Chlamydomonadales; Volvocaceae
Description: long non-coding RNA (VCAR_LNC000008)
Source: RNAcentral
CAGUGACAAGUAUGACCCCGCAGGGAUGUAGCAGGUCGUGUGUUUCGACGUUCCCAUCCAAUGGGUAAGCCGGCACAUCUUAACCCCUGGUUUACGGUUGUCCGACACAAAUCCCCGGAGUGUUGUAAUAAGACGUGGCUUCUGCCAGUCAUCAUCAAAUCGCUGCUUCAAUGUUUCCAUGACAGAUCUAACAUUGAUCGGGUUCGACGAAAUGAAAUUGACCUUCCCCAGACUUCAUCCGUGUCCGGGUGCAGCUCUGGGAAGUGCCCUAAGCACCUGAGACCCCUUAGGGUCAUGGCACCCCAGUUGGUGGCAGUACAAUCAGAACGCACUGCAAGGCGUAUCUCCUCACGCAAAACAUUGUGAAAAAACACAGUCCCCUUCGCGAGGAUAACCUUGUUCCAAAAACGGUACUUAAGUGAGGCCCAGUGAAGGUGGAGGGGCCAUUGACCAAGCCCCCUAAACAACACACGAUUAGCCGGUAUCCUUC